Ctenopharyngodon idella (grass carp) is the source of this 3568-nucleotide long non-coding RNA. RefSeq lists it as uncharacterized. The transcript is spliced from 2 exons. Lineage: Eukaryota; Metazoa; Chordata; Actinopteri; Cypriniformes; Xenocyprididae. The record is from RefSeq and is a predicted model, not a curated record.
UUAAUGAACUAUUGUUUUGUAGUGAUUUAGAGUCUUAUAUAUUAAUACUAAUAUUGAUAUUUAGUAUUAAUAUGAGGACUUAAAAACAAAAAAAAAUCAAUCAGUUCACUCCAAGCAGAAUCAGUAUUUUAAUGUUUCUGUUCCUGCGUUCUUUCUGUAUUAUUAAUGUUCCGAAACACUGGUUAAUAACAUUAUUUUUUAACCUUUUUUUGUAUGUAGCCUACUUUAUUAUAAUAAUAAUAAUAAUAAUACGUACAGCAUUUUCUUUAUUCAAAAACAAAGCGAGUCUUGCCGUCUUAGCCAAUACAAUUAUCUUUUAUAACAAGAUUCUGUCCAAAUGUAAACCUAUUAAACGAAAGGAAAAACUAUCAACGGUUUUUAAAUUAAAGUGUAUUUUCAAGAUAUUUUCAAAUGUUUGCUGCAUGGUUAAAAAUGCGCUACUCAUGAGAGGAAAAAAGAUAAGUCUUGUAUACAACACAUUUUAUUAUUACGUUCAGAAAUAAUGUAAAUUGCCAGUAAUAAAGUAGAAUGUUUACAAAUAGCCUAGCCUAUAUAGCUUUGUUUAUAAUGUUUGUAAACAUAAAUUAUGAACAAAACUGCCCUAAUUUACUUUCCACUAUGCACUCCACAACAAAACCUAUAAAGUUAACAGUAGGCCUAUUUAGGCUAUAUAAAUGUCAAGCCAAAACGAAUUUUAAAAAUUCUCUUUUCUUUAAUGCCAUUCCAGCUUCUAUUGCUAUAUUCACAGUCAGAAACAGGUUUAUUUAUUAGAAAUAAAACUAAAUAAGAUGCAAAACAGAUUAAUUUUAAAUGUAUCUGAAGCCUACAUUUUUCAUUUGCACAAAUCUAACUGUUUAUAUUUUCGCGACGUAUGCUGAACUAUUUUGUAUGUACUCAAUGUAAUCAAUUAUUUAUUAUGUAAUCUUUGUCCUUCACUAGCAUUAUCAAUGUAAAACAUCAUCCUUCACAUAUAAGAGCACAGUGAGGCGGUGGUCACGGGUGGUAAAUGGCACAGAUUGGAUUACAGAUUAUUAAAUUGAGAAGUGUAACGUUUUGUAUGUUUGGUUGACUGUAUUUUAUUUUAAUAUUUAACAGGCUGCGAUAUCAAGUAAGCAAUACAAGAAUUUUUGUGUGCGCUUGAGGUGUCGGUGCGACCGCUGGAUUUUUAAAGUAAACUGUACUCGAAGCGCUGCAGGUGCGUGAUGUGACGUUGUGUGAACUGAUGUUCUACACUAUCCUGCAAUUUUCACUGGUUUCAAAACACAACAAGCUGCAUAUUACUUCAUUUUCACCUAAAUGUAGGCCUAAUGCUUGACGGUGGGUGACAUAUAUCUUCAGAAAAACUAAUGCCAGGGCAUUGCCAUUGUCACUUACCUAACCUAUGAUGACUUGACAGUUGAGCCUGGACGCAGACAUUUCACUCACUUUAGAGUCUGAGCCCGGGCAUUUCACUCACUUUAGAGCCUGAGCACGGGUAUUUCACUCACGUUGGAUGUGUCAUCGUCACAUUUGCAUCGGCUGUUCUAUUUGAAUUCGUGAUUGGUUGACUGCCAAAACAAAAUAUCAAACAGAAUGAUAAAAUAAUGUUAUUAACCAUUAUUAAUGGGCAUUUAAAAUAAGUGUUUCUGUUCAGAUCGAUUAAAUUUGAUUUUGUUUCCAUUUCUGAUUAUAUUCUAGGGGUGGGCGAUAUGACCAAAAUUUUGUAUCACGAUAUGAGUAAUUUUAUAUCACGAUAGCAAUAUAUAUCACGAUAUAGUUAUUUUUGCUUUAAGUACGAUUUUAUGAUGAUAAAAUUUUUCAAACCAUUGAAAUUUCAUAAUUCUUAUCACCAAUUUCAAUAUCAUUUAAAAAAUUAAUACUAGCCUAAAAAACUCUAAAAAAAAAAAUAAAUAAAAAAAAUAAAAAAAGACAAAUGAACUGAUAAAGAAAGAGCAAAGAAAACAAACUACAAUAGAACAAAGACAGAUGAAAUAGACCAACCAGAAAAACUUCAAGCACUAGAAAUACUACAUAAAAUGUAUAAAGUAAUCAAAGGUAUAAAAAAAUGCAAAACAGUCUUUACUGUGUAAAUUAAAUAUACAUUUAUACUUAUUAAAGUUACAAAAGCAAGCAGUGAGAGAUUUCUCUCUUUUUUGUAGUUUGAUUAGCAUUUAUAAUGACACCAGGUAAAUUUGGAUGGUGUCCCUUUAAGACUGACUGCGCCGAUCCAUUAUACUCAAGCCUUGUCUUUCUCAACAGUAUCUUCACUUAAGAGAUAAAUGGCCCUGUUUACUUAUAAAUGCGUGGUUACUUUGACACAUAGGUAUGUGUAUUUAACCAUUCAAGCCCCAAAAGCACUCAGUUCAGUCCUCAAGCUCUCUAGGUUAUUUUUCACUGCUAAUUGCGCUUUAACAGUUUAAAACGACUUGUUUUUAAACCGCAAUGCUUAAAAACUCAUGCAAAUUGUAAGCUUUCAUGACCGCGCAGCAUAGCAACCUCACCUGAGUGUAACCGCGACAAAGACGAUAGUCCAAAAUCUCUACCGGUUGACAAAUUUCUACCAGCUAAUCGUGUCUACCAGUUUAUCCCGUACUUAUUGUGCUUAAUAACACUUUAACAUCGAGCACAACCCUAAUUCGCAAUCGCCUUCUGAGGCAGGUUUCUGUGCACGCACUUUGGCAGUGUGCCAGUUAGCACGAGUGCUGCACCGAGUUCCUUUUCAGGAUAUACUGGGCUUAUAACACCAGCCAGGGAAUUUCACCUUAACAGUAAAGAAUCAUGGGAGAUUGUGGACUGAAUUAGAAUUAGAUAAAUUGGAUAAGUUCGUCAUCUGACCAAUCUGAAGGAUUUGUGAAAUAUUGUUAACUUGUAUAGCCUCUUACUGUAUGAUCAACACAAGGAAGACACGUGUAAUAAAAGGAUUUUAUUAGCAAAAGUAUAGACAAGAGUAACUAACAACUACUGAAUGGAAAAAUAUUGAUAAAUUCAAGUGACUUGAGUUGGAUGUUACUAAGGCAGUUACAAGUUAUCUUAUGGAAAGAUAAACAGUGGUUCCUCUGGAAGUAAAUAAGGUAAAUCUUAUUCUGAAUUCAAAUAAAUCGAGAGAUUAUUUGUUAUUAACUGCUAUUUGUUAUUAUCAGCUAUGCAAAAUCUAAUGCAAAUUAGAUAUCAUAUACUUACAAUAUAUUAUCAUUUACUGACAAUAUACACUAAUGUCUUGGUCUCUGGAAAGAGGUUUGGUAUAGUGAUAUUUACUUCUGCCUGGUGACGUGGUUGGUGUUCCCUGGUGAGUCCCAGCGGUGACAUCUUUCACAGCUGGGCCACAUUGCAGUGGGAUGAAAGGAGUUGGAAUCCAUUUCUCUUUCAAAGUUUUUUUUAUUGAUAUUUACAUUAUAAAUCACAUGAAACAAUCCCCCAACCCUCACCAUCAAAUAACUAGCGCAGCAUCCAUACUGUCCAUUAAUUCAGAUAAGAAUUGUAAGUAGAAGAACCGAGCAUACAUAUAUACGUCAACAUAUGUCAGCCUCCAGCCAUAUAUAAAAAGAGAUACAUGCACAUACACUCUGGAGAAAAAAAAUAAAUAAAUAAA